RNAcentral lists this transfer RNA (98 nucleotides) under Rhizophagus irregularis. RNAcentral describes it as "tRNA-Ile". Lineage: Eukaryota; Fungi; Glomeromycota; Glomeromycetes; Glomerales; Glomeraceae. The record is from RNAcentral.
GCCCUAUUAGCUCAGUUGGUUAGAGCGUCGUGCUAAUAGGAUCUGAAUAUCAGAUUCAGUUACGCGAAGGUCAUAAGUUCGAGCCUGAGAAUUAGCCA